GUUACUAUCUACCCCACCACCACCAAGAACAUCAACUAAAAUUGGAGUGAUAUCAGAGAAGAUUAGCAUGGCCCUUGCACAAAGAUGACAUGCAGAUUCAUGAAACUUAAAUAUUUUAA
Molecule: small nuclear RNA, 119 nt
Filed under: Saimiri boliviensis boliviensis (Bolivian squirrel monkey)
Lineage: Eukaryota; Metazoa; Chordata; Mammalia; Primates; Cebidae
Source: RNAcentral